GCCUUCGUGGUGUAAUGGUCAGCACACCGAGCCGGUAUUUCAGAGGUCCGCGGUUCGAUCCCCGGCGAAGGCA
Molecule: transfer RNA, 73 nt
Filed under: Stegodyphus mimosarum
Lineage: Eukaryota; Metazoa; Arthropoda; Arachnida; Araneae; Eresidae
Rfam family: tRNA
About the family: Transfer RNA (tRNA) molecules are approximately 80 nucleotides in length.
Source: Rfam by way of RNAcentral